AAUGACCACUUGAAAACUCUAAACGUUCACUCAAUGGGAUUUAAAGGUCUGCUUAAAAAAAGAACAAAUAAUGAAUAAAAUAAAAAAAGAAAAGAAAAGGUGAGGACGCAGACGAGAGUCCCAGAACCCCAAUCGUCCUCCUCUCUCUAUCUCACCAUCGCUCUCAACCUCAGGUUUCCCAGAAUGAACCUCUCUCAAUCGCGAUUUCCAUCGUCUCUCAAAUCUAACCUCAAUCCCUCAUCUCUCAUCGAAACCCCCUAUCUCAAAAGCUCCCAAACCUCACGUCUUUCUCAGAAUCGCUCACGAUGCUAACCCCAGAAAUACACGAACCUAUGGUUUCAAAAGAGGGUCG
This 352-nucleotide long non-coding RNA is filed under the name Lathyrus oleraceus (garden pea). RNAcentral's name for it is "Pisum sativum (pea) long non-coding RNA (PSAT_LNC007676)". The record is from RNAcentral. Lineage: Eukaryota; Viridiplantae; Streptophyta; Magnoliopsida; Fabales; Fabaceae.